GAGUGGCGGACGGGUGAGUAACACGUGGGUAACCUGCCCUAAAGUGGGGGAUACAUUUGGAAACAGAUGCUAAUACCGCAUAAAACCUAACACCGCAUGGUGUAGGGUUGAAAGAUGGUUUCGGCUAUCACUUUAGGAUGGACCCGCGGUGCAUUAGUUAGUUGGUGAGGUAAAGGCUCACCAAGACCGUGAUGCAUAGCCGACCUGAGAGGGUAAUCGGCCACACUGGGACUGAGACACGGCCCAGACUCCUACGGGAGGCAGCAGUAGGGAAUCUUCCACAAUGGACGAAAGUCUGAUGGAGCAACGCCGCGUGAGUGAAGAAGGUUUUCGGAUCGUAAAACUCUGUUGUUGGAGAAGAAUGUAUCUGAUAGUAACUGAUCAGGUAGUGACGGUAUCCAACCAGAAAGCCACGGCUAACUACGUGCCAGCAGCCGCGGUAAUACGUAGGUGGCAAGCGUUGUCCGGAUUUAUUGGGCGUAAAGCGAGCGCAGGCGGUUUCUUAAGUCUGAUGUGAAAGCCUUCGGCUCAACCGAAGAAGUGCAUCGGAAACUGGGAAACUUGAGUGCAGAAGAGGACAGUGGAACUCCAUGUGUAGCGGUGAAAUGCGUAGAUAUAUGGAAGAACACCAGUGGCGAAGGCGGCUGUCUGGUCUGUAACUGACGCUGAGGCUCGAAAGCAUGGGUAGCAAACAGGAUUAGAUACCCUGGUAGUCCAUGCCGUAAACGAUGAGUGCUAGGUGUUGGAGGGUUUCCGCCCUUCAGUGCCGCAGCUAACGCAUUAAGCACUCCGCCUGGGGGAGUACGACCGCAAGGUUGAAACUCAAAGGAAUUGACGGGGGCCCGCACAAGCGGUGGAGCAUGUGGUUUAAUUCGAAGCAACGCGAAGAACCUUACCAGGUCUUGACAUCCUUUGACCACUCUAGAGAUAGAGCUUUCCCUUCGGGGACAAAGUGACAGGUGGUGCAUGGUUGUCGUCAGCUCGUGUCGUGAGAUGUUGGGUUAAGUCCCGCAACGAGCGCAACCCUUAUUACUAGUUGCCAGCAUUUAGUUGGGCACUCUAGUGAGACUGCCGGUGACAAACCGGAGGAAGGUGGGGACGACGUCAAAUCAUCAUGCCCCUUAUGACCUGGGCUACACACGUGCUACAAUGGAUGGUACAACGAGUUGCGAGACCGCGAGGUUUAGCUAAUCUCUUAAAACCAUUCUCAGUUCGGAUUGUAGGCUGCAACUCGCCUACAUGAAGCCGGAAUCGCUAGUAAUCGCGGAUCAGCAUGCCGCGGUGAAUACGUUCCCGGGCCUGUACACACCGCCCGUCACACCAUGAGAGUUUGUAACACCCAAAGCCGGUGAGGUAACCCUUCGGGGAGCCAGCCGUCUAAGG
This 1383-nucleotide ribosomal RNA is filed under the name Latilactobacillus sakei. RNAcentral's name for it is "Lactobacillus sakei 16S ribosomal RNA". It matches the Rfam family "Bacterial small subunit ribosomal RNA", at positions 93 to 1462 of the family's 1533-position model. Lineage: Bacteria; Bacillati; Bacillota; Bacilli; Lactobacillales; Lactobacillaceae. The record is from RNAcentral.